This 75-nucleotide transfer RNA is filed under the name Parmaturus melanobranchus. RNAcentral describes it as "tRNA-Leu". It matches the Rfam family "tRNA". From Rfam's summary of the family: Transfer RNA (tRNA) molecules are approximately 80 nucleotides in length. Their secondary structure includes four short double-helical elements and three loops (D, anti-codon, and T loops). Further hydrogen bonds mediate the characteristic L-shaped molecular structure. tRNAs have two regions of fundamental functional importance: the anti-codon, which is responsible for specific mRNA codon recognition, and the 3' end, to which the tRNAs corresponding amino acid is attached (by aminoacyl-tRNA synthetases). tRNAs cope with the degeneracy of the genetic code in two manners: having more than one tRNA (with a specific anti-codon) for a particular amino acid; and 'wobble' base-pairing, i.e. permitting non-standard base-pairing at the 3rd anti-codon position. Lineage: Eukaryota; Metazoa; Chordata; Chondrichthyes; Carcharhiniformes; Scyliorhinidae. The record is from RNAcentral.
GUUGAAGUGGCAGAGCCUGGUAAAUGCAAAAGACCUAAGAUCUUUAUUUCAGAGGUUCAAAUCCUCUCUUCAAUU